UACGUAGGGUGCGAGCGUUGUCCGGAAUUAUUGGGCGUAAAGAGCUUGUAGGCGGUCUGUCGCGUCUGCUGUGAAAAUCCGGGGCUCAACCCCGGACUUGCAGUGGGUACGGGCAGACUAGAGUGUGGUAGGGGAGACUGGAAUUCCAGGUGUAGCGGUGAAAUGCGUAGAUAUCUGGAGGAAUACCGGUGGCGAAGGCGGCAUCCUGGACCGGCACUGACGCUGAUGCGCGAAAGCCAGGGGAGCAAACGGG
Molecule: ribosomal RNA, 253 nt
Filed under: uncultured bacterium
Lineage: Bacteria
Description: partial 16S ribosomal RNA
Rfam family: Bacterial small subunit ribosomal RNA
Source: RNAcentral